CUUUUUAGGAGAUUUGCAGAUCAUUAAGAACAAGUUCCUUUAACACUAUAUCACCUUUAGCAUAUGCUUAUGUUUUGUUGCUUCCCCCAUUCUUCAAAAUUACUCGGUUAUUUGCUCCUGGCUUGUCAUAUCUCAACUAAGCUCAUCUUUUUGUUGAUGGUGGUCCUAGUUGUCUAACAUCGUGUUCCAGCAUUUAUCACAGGGUCAUUGUUGUCAUUAUGGUAUUUUAUUUAAAUGUGUUACCAUGAAUGAGUGGAUUUACAAUAUAUUAAUCAUGUCUUAUCCAUUAUAUCUAUCUUGUCUGCCAAUGAGUGAAGGAUGUCCAUAUCCUUGAGUUAAGCUGGGCACUACCUUGUCUUUUGCAAGAGUAUAUGAAGAAACUGGAAGAUUAUUUGGCUCAUCUUCUUGGUCAUGGUAUAUAAUUAUGUAUUAUCUUAAUGAUUAAGUAGGAGGUUGCUCACGAAAGUAUUAAUAACAAAGAAAAAGAUGCAGAUUUCUGAGUCUUUAAUCCUUUUGUAGUACACUCCUGCAAUUGAUAUGUGGAGUAUAGGAUGCAUAUUUGUUGAGAUACUUACAGGAAAAACCACUUUUUCCUGGAAAAAAUGUGGUGCACCAAUUGGAUCUCAUGAUCGAUAUGCUUGGCACUCCUCCUCCUGAAUCUAUAUCAAGGAUUAGAAAUGAAAAGGCAAGGAGGUACCUUAGUAGCAUGCGUAAAAAGCCACCAGUUCCUUUCUGACAGAAGUUCCCUAAUGUGGAUCCCGGGGCUCUUCGCCUACUUGAGCGCUUACUUACAUUUGAUCCAAAAGAUCGUCCAAUGGCUGAAGAAGCAUUAGCUGAUCCAUACUUUUAUGGUUUAGCAAAUGUGGAUCGUGAACCAUCCACUCAACCUAUUUCGAAAGUAGAAUUUGAGUUUGAGAUAAGGAAAUUGGCAAAAGAUGAUGUUAGAGAGUUGAUUUAUAGAGAGAUACUCCACAUUUGUUGCUUUGGUAUUAUCUGGUUUCUAUUUAUCAUAUAGCUUAACCAAUUUGUGGCUUAACAGAUAUUAGAGUAUCAUCCCCAGAUGCUGCAGGAGUACCUCCGCGGUGGGAAUCAGACCAACUUCAUAUACCUUUCAAGCUCUUAACUUUUGUUGCUUAAUAUCCUUUAAAAAUCCUCUUGUUUCUUAAUAUGAUGUCCAAGAUUGUCCUUAUACAGUUUAGAUACAGCUUAGUAAAGUAAUACUUUUUGAGUGGUUUUGUAGAUCGAAUCCUCAUUUCAAGUUAUAUAGUGCUUAAGCGAAAUAUAGGGGGUGAGGGUCUGGAAAUUCUAAAUUCCAGUUGAUAACAUUUUCUUCUAGCAUUACAAAUAACGAUAUUAUUUUUCUUUUUUCAAUCAAAUAGUGGCGUUGAGUGAUUCAAACGAUAAUUUGCACAUUUGGAGGAACAUUAUGGUAAAGGUAAAAGAAGUACUCAAUUUCUAAGACAUCAUGCUUUUUUGCCAAGGUAUGCUUCAUAAAAUUUUAGGAAUCAUGUUAGUUCUAUAAUUUCUCCCCCAAACUUAGUCUGUUUAGUUCAUGUGUCAUAUUUCAAUUUGCCUGAAUAUCGUCUUUACAAAGAGCGAGUUUCUGCUCCCAAAGAUGAGAAUGAUCAAGUUGAUGGAGAGAAUAACGUUGUUUCAAUGACACAAUAUGGUUCAGAAAGCGCUAGUGCUUCAAUGACACAAUAUGGUUCUGAAAUACAAAUUGCAGAAGCACUGGAAGCUUGGAUAUGGUAUCUAGCUACUGUUUGAUCAUUACUGCACUCCAUUGGAUCAGAUAUGCAGAAGGUAGACAAGGUGUGAAUUUGUCUGUUAUCGACUUAACACCACAUAAGAUGUACAAGUAUGGAGCAAAUGGUGAAACUGAUGAUAUAUUGGAAUACCAUGAUACUUUUGAUUUUUCACAAGACUUCCCUUUAGUAGAACUUGAUGAUGAUUUCUUGUGUACACGCCCGGAUGGCGAGGAC
Hibiscus syriacus is the source of this 1982-nucleotide long non-coding RNA. RefSeq lists it as uncharacterized. The transcript is spliced from 4 exons. Lineage: Eukaryota; Viridiplantae; Streptophyta; Magnoliopsida; Malvales; Malvaceae. The record is from RefSeq and is a predicted model, not a curated record.